CGAACGGGUGAGUAACGCGUGAGGAACCUGCCUCAAAGAGGGGGACAACAGUUGGAAACGACUGCUAAUACCGCAUAAGCCCACAGGUCGGCAUCGACCAGAGGGAAAAGGAGCAAUCCGCUUUGAGAUGGCCUCGCGUCCGAUUAGCUAGUUGGUGAGGUAACGGCGCACCAAGGCAACGAUCGGUAGCCGGACUGAGAGGUUGAACGGCCACAUUGGGACUGAGACACGGCCCAA
RNAcentral lists this ribosomal RNA (237 nucleotides) under uncultured bacterium. RNAcentral's name for it is "partial 16S ribosomal RNA". It matches the Rfam family "Bacterial small subunit ribosomal RNA", at positions 99 to 334 of the family's 1533-position model. The record is from RNAcentral.